Molecule: ribosomal RNA, 493 nt
Filed under: uncultured bacterium
Lineage: Bacteria
Description: bacterial SSU rRNA
Rfam family: Bacterial small subunit ribosomal RNA
Source: RNAcentral
GAUGAACGCUAGCUACAGGCUUAACACAUGCAAGUCGAGGGGCAGCACAGAGAUAGCUUGCUAUCUUGGGUGGCGACCGGCGCACGGGUGAGUAACGCGUAUCCAACCUGCCCCGUACUCGGGUAUAGCCCAGCGAAAGCUGGAUUAAUCCCCGAUGUCACCUUUAUGGUGCAUGCCAUAUUGGUUAAAGUUAUUCGGUACGGGAUGGGGAUGCGUCUGAUUAGGUAGUAGGCGGGGUAACGGCCCACCUAGCCGACGAUCAGUAGGGGUUCUGAGAGGAAGGUCCCCCACACUGGAACUGAGACACGGUCCAGACUCCUACGGGAGGCAGCAGUGAGGAAUAUUGGUCAAUGGACGCAAGUCUGAACCAGCCAUGCCGCGUGCAGGAAGACGGCUCUAUGAGUUGUAAACUGCUUUUGUACAAGGGUAAACCUCGGUACAUGUACCGAGCUGAAAGUACUGUACGAAUAAGGAUCGGCUAACUCCGUGCCAG